This 253-nucleotide ribosomal RNA is filed under the name uncultured bacterium. RNAcentral's name for it is "partial 16S ribosomal RNA". It matches the Rfam family "Bacterial small subunit ribosomal RNA", at positions 524 to 776 of the family's 1533-position model. The record is from RNAcentral.
UACGAAGGGGGCGAGCGUUGUUCGGAUUUACUGGGCGUAAAGGGCGCGCAGGCGGCCUAUUUUGUCAGGCGUGAAAGCCCCGGGCUUAACCUGGGAACUGCGUUUGAUACGGAUGGGCUAGAGUUCGGGAGAGGAGAGUGGAAUUCCCAGUGUAGAGGUGAAAUUCGUAGAUAUCAGGAAGAACACCCGUGGCGAAAGCGGCUCUCUGGAACGGUACUGACGCUGAGACGCGAAAGCGUGGGGAGCGAACAGG